GACGAACGCUGGCGGCGUGCCUAAUACAUGCAAGUCGAGCGAGCGGAACCGACAGAUCUACUUCGGUAACGACGUUGGGAAAGCGAGCGGCGGAUGGGUGAGUAACACGUGGGUAACCUGCCCAAGAGACUGGGAUAACAUUUGGAAACAGAUGCUAAUACCGGAUAAGAAAGCAGAUCGCAUGAUCAGCUUAUAAAAGACGGAUUUCUGUCACUCUUGGAUGGACCUGCGGUGCAUUAGCUAGUUGGUAAGGUAACGGCUUACCAAGGCGACGAUGCAUAGCCGAGUUGAGAGACUGAUCGGCCACAUUGGGACUGAGACACGGCCCAAACUCCUACGGGAGGCAGCAGUAGGGAAUCUUCCACAAUGGACGCAAGUCUGAUGGAGCAACGCCGCGUGAGUGAAGAAGGUUUUCGGAUCGUAAAGCUCUGUUAUUGGUGAAGAAAGAUAGAGGUAGUAACUGGCCUUUAUUUGACGGUAAUCAACCAGAAAGUCACGGCUAACUACGUGCCAGCAGCCGCGGUAAUGCGUAGGUGGCAAGCGUUGUCCGGAUUUAUUGGGCGUAAAGCGAGUGCAGGCGGUUCAAUAAGUCUAAUGUGAAAGCCUUCGGCUUAACCGGAGAAUUGCAUCGGAAACUGUUGAACUUGAGUGCAGAAGAGGAGAGUGGAACUCCAUGUGUAGCGGUGGAAUGCGUAGAUAUAUGGAAGAACACCAGUGGCGAAGGCGGCUCUCUGGUCUGUAACUGACGCUGAGGCUCG
Molecule: ribosomal RNA, 758 nt
Filed under: uncultured Lactobacillus sp.
Lineage: Bacteria; Bacillati; Bacillota; Bacilli; Lactobacillales; Lactobacillaceae
Description: bacterial SSU rRNA
Rfam family: Bacterial small subunit ribosomal RNA
Source: RNAcentral